This is a long non-coding RNA of Gekko japonicus, 186 nucleotides long. RefSeq lists it as uncharacterized. The record is from RefSeq and is a predicted model, not a curated record. The transcript has 3 exons. NCBI's taxonomy places the organism in Eukaryota, Metazoa, Chordata, Lepidosauria, Squamata, Gekkonidae.
GUCAACCACCAUUUCGGCCACCGCUACUAUGGAGUCCAAUAAGAUCGUCGGGUCCCUGAAGAUUGGCAGGCUGGAGCUGUCCUUGAAGCACUCAGACGUGGGGCCGUUCUCGGUGCAAUUGAUGCAGGCCGUCAUGAACUACUUUGCUGCCAACGUCUUGGUCCCUCAAAUUAAUGGUAAGGACUG